Molecule: ribosomal RNA, 278 nt
Rfam family: Bacterial small subunit ribosomal RNA
UUUAAAGAGAGUUUGAUCCUGGCUCAGGACGAACGCUGGCGGCGUGCCUAAUACAUGCAAGUCGAACGAACGGAGGAAGAGCUUGCUCUUCCAAAGUUAGUGGCGGACGGGUGAGUAACACGUGGGCAACCUGCCUGUAAGUUGGGGAUAACUCCGGGAAACCGGGGCUAAUACCGAAUGAUAAGUAGUGACGCAUGUCAUCACUUUGAAAGAUGGUUUCGGCUAUCGCUUACAGAUGGGCCCGCGGUGCAUUAGCUAGUUGGUAGGGUAAAGGCCUA